AGGCCCCCCCUAUCACCCUACCCAUCCACAAGAAAAACACUACCUCCCAUUAAUGUGGUGUGUCCUAAGGGAACGGUGGGUUUUGUUUUUUACCAGGGUUCCAUGUGAACAGCAGUUGGACCUGGGUCAGUCGUCCUAAGAAAACGGCGAAAGCUUGCUCGUCUUUCGACAUGAAUUGUAAGACUGAAUAAUGAUCUGCCUAGUGCCCAGGGGAGGCGAAUUUCCCCCCCCAGCCAAAUUC
RNAcentral lists this ribosomal RNA (241 nucleotides) under Trichinella spiralis. Its description in RNAcentral is "partial large subunit ribosomal RNA". Lineage: Eukaryota; Metazoa; Nematoda; Enoplea; Trichinellida; Trichinellidae. The record is from RNAcentral.